GACGAACGCUGGCGGCGUGCUUAACACAUGCAAGUCGAACGGAAAGGCCCUGCUUUUGUGGGGUGCUCGAGUGGCGAACGGGUGAGUAACACGUGAGUAACCUGCCCUUGACUUUGGGAUAACUUCAGGAAACUGGGGCUAAUACCGGAUAGGAGCUCCUGCUGCAUGGUGGGGGUUGGAAAGUUUCGGCGGUUGGGGAUGGACUCGCGGCUUAUCAGCUUGUUGGUGGGGUAGUGGCUUACCAAGGCUUUGACGGGUAGCCGGCCUGAGAGGGUGACCGGCCACAUUGGGGCUGAGAUACGACCCAGACUCCUACGGGAGGCAGCAGUGGGGAAUAUUGCACAAUGGGCGGAAGCCUGAUGCAGCAACGCCGCGUGCGGGAUGACGGCCUUCGGGUUGUAAACCGCUUUCGCCUGUGACGAAGCGUGAGUGACGGUAAUGGGUAAAGAAGCACCGGCUAACUACGUG
This 468-nucleotide ribosomal RNA is filed under the name uncultured bacterium. Its description in RNAcentral is "partial 16S ribosomal RNA". It matches the Rfam family "Bacterial small subunit ribosomal RNA", at positions 28 to 507 of the family's 1533-position model. The record is from RNAcentral.